This 3849-nucleotide ribosomal RNA is filed under the name Triticum aestivum (bread wheat). RNAcentral's name for it is "partial small subunit ribosomal RNA". Lineage: Eukaryota; Viridiplantae; Streptophyta; Magnoliopsida; Poales; Poaceae. The record is from RNAcentral.
AUGGCGUCGCCCUCCGGAAACCCUAAUCCCAACCCCAACCCCAACGUCCCCUUCGAGCUCAGCAGGCUCUUCAAGCCUCCCCCAAACCCUAACCACCCCACAACCGUGCCGACCCCCACUGGCAUCUUCCCGGGCGCCCCGCCCGGCGCGCCGAUGGUCACCGGGCCGCCGGGCCCCUACUCCUACCCGCCCGCCACCCCGCCCUUCCACCGCAACCAGUACCUCAACUACCCCNNCGAUCCCAACGCCGUCCACCUCCCCGUCGCCGCCUUCGCGAACCCUAACCCCGCCGCAAACCCUAUCCCUAACCACAGCCCCGGCCCCAAUCCGGGAGCUCGGCUCAUGCAGCUGCUGGGCAACACCGCGCCCACCCACCUCGAGUCCGUGGUGUCCAUGCCGCCUACGUCAUCGGAGUUCUCUGGCGGCCCGGUGGCGCCGCUGCCAGCGAUGCCGUCCGCGCCGCCGGCGAGGAUGACAAGCACAAGCAGCAAGAUGCCCCGGGGCAGGCUGCUGGGACCGGGGGACAGGGCCGUGCACGACGUGGACUCGCGGCUGCCAGGGGAGGCGCAGCCACCACAGCUGGAAGUGACGCCCAUCACCAAGUACACUUCGGACCCGGGGUUGGUGCUGGGCCGGCAGAUCGCUGUAAACCGAACGUACAUCGUGUACGGCCUCAAGCUUGGCAACAUCCGCGUGCUCAACAUCAACACCGCACUCCGCUCGCUCCUUCGUGGGCACACACAGAGGGUGACGGACAUGGCUUUCUUUGCAGAAGAUGUCCAUCGUUUAGCAAGUGCAAGCGUAGAUGGGCGUAUAUAUGUAUGGAAGAUUGACGAGGGACCCGAUGAGGAAAAUAAACCACAAAUCACAGGAAAGAUUGAAAUGGCCAUCCAGAUAGUAGGAGAUGCUGGAACUUACCAUCCAAGAAUAUGCUGGCACUCCCAUAAGCAAGAAAUUCUGUUUGUUGGAAUAGGGAACUGUGUCUUAAAAAUAGACACAACAAAAGUGGGAAGAGGAAGAGACUUCAGUAAAGAAGAGCCUCUUAAAUGUUCACUUGAUAAGCUCAUUGAUGGUGUGCACUUGGUUGGUAAACAUGACGGGGAUGUCACAGAUCUGUCCUUAUCUCAAUGGAUGACUACCCGUCUGGCUUCAGCAUCAAAAGAUGGCACGGUAAAAAUCUGGGAUGAUCGCAGGACAGUGCCUUUAUCUGUGAUGAAACCGCAUGAUGGUAAAGCUGUUUAUUCGGUUUCUUUCCUUACAGCACCAGAGCAACCAAAUCAUAUAAAUCUCGUUACAGCGGGGCCUCUCAACCGAGAAGUAAAAAUCUGGGCUUCCUCUGAUAAGGAAGGUUGGUUGUUGCCAAGUGAAUCUGAGACUUGGAGAUGCACUCAAACUCUGGAACUUGUGAGUUCUCUGGAAAAUAGGUUUGAGGAAGCAUUUUUCAACCAAGUAGCAGUGUUGCCACAAGCUAGCCUUAUUUUGCUUGCGAAUGCCAAAAAGAACGCUAUAUAUGCUAUUCAUGUUGAGUAUGGUCCAGAUCCUGCUUCUACUCGUCUGGACUAUAUAGCAGAUUUCACAGUUGCAAUGCCUAUUUUAAGUCUGACGGGAACACAUGAAAGCCAGCCUGAUGGUGAACAUGUAGUACAAGUCUAUUGUGUCCAGACAAUGGCUAUCCAGCAGUAUGGAUUGGAGUUAUCACUCUGUUUGCCUCCUACAGCUGAUAACGCUGGGCUUGGUAGGGAUCUGGCUAUUUCCCAUGUAUAUGAGAGACCUCUAGAAGUGGCAUCAGUGGAGUCAUCAACAGAAACUAAACCACUGAGUGAUCAUCAGGGAACAGAAGUUGAUACUGCUACUCAUGUCUCAUCCCCAACUCCUUCAUCAAACAUGGAUAAUGCUGGAUCUUAUGCAGAAGCUGUCUUGAGAAGAGAUGCUUCAAGAGGUCCAUCUCUUGGUGAUCAUGAUGGGGACAAGUCAUCUGUUGAUUAUUCAAAGAAAAGGAUGGAUUCUGAUGGUACAAGUGGGCAAGGAGCAUUUGAUAGGAAGGAUUGCUUUGGGAAUGAAGAGCCAAGAGGUGGCCAGGUUGAUGGUGUGCUCCCAUCUGCUGAAUCGACUGCUAAUGGCAGCCCACAGAAUGCAGAAAUGGAGUCAAAACUUGUGGUUGAGAAAAAAGCAGAUCAAAAUAUUGGAUUUGAGGAUGUUAAGGAGACCCAAAUUGUUCAAGAGAAAAUGGAGAGACUUAACAUGUCUUCAGAGCAAACUGUAGAGACAAUUAGUGAACGUUCGGUAACAACUGACAAGUAUAGUGUGGAAGAUUCACAGAGAUCAGACCCCACACUUCUGAAACAACAUUCUGGUGCUCGGGAUGAAAAUCUUCCAAGAAGAACAGCUGAAGCUACUGAAAACAUCAAUGGCUCUUCGUCAAGGAACUUGCAGUUACCCUCACCUACCAAAGAGGAGAAAGUUCUGCAUCCUCAGGUGUCUGGGCAGAUGUCUCCUCUUACAAGCACUUUCAACUCUACUGAUUCAUCACAUGAACACCCAAGCAAUACAAACCCUGCCAUUGAUUCUGUCCCGCAAGUAUCUGCCAUUCAAGGAAAAUUGCAACAGCUUAUGGCAAUGCAUACUGACAUGCAAAAGCAGCUGAACACAAUUGUGUCUGCUCCUAUUGCAAAGGAGGGCAAAAGGAUCGAGACAUCACUUGGGCGUAAUAUUGAGAAGUCCAUAAAGGCUAACGUUGAUGCCAUGUGGGCUCGUAUCCAGGAGGAAAAUGCAAGGCAUGAAAAGGUUGAAAGAGAGCGAAUGCAGCAGAUUUCUACUCUAAUCACAACUUCUGUAAACAAGGACAUUCCUGCUAUACUGGAGAAAUCAUUAAAGAGAGAAAUAUCGUUGUUGGGACCCACCAUUGCACGAACAACAACACCUAUCAUUGAGAAGUCCUUGUCUUCUGCUGUUUCGGAUUCGCUUCAGAAAGUUCUCGGGGAAAAGGUUGCGAAUCAGCUGGAUAAGUCCAUAAGUACGAAACUUGAAGCUACUGUUGCUAAGCAGAUCCAAACACAGUUCCAUACAUCUGCCAAGCAGGCACUUCAGGAUGCUUUACGGUCAAGCUUUGAGUCAUCAAUUAUCCCAGCAUUUGAACAAUCUUGUAAGACAAUGUUUGAGCAAGUGGAUGGUGCAUUCCAGAAGGGCAUGUCUGAGCAUGGUACUGCUAUCCAGCAGCAGGUUGCAGCAGCACAUAGUCCAUUGGCACAGACUUUAAGGGAAACAAUCAAUUCAGCAUCAUCAAUUACCCAGGGUCUUACAUCAGAGUUACUUGAUGGCCAGCGCAAGCUUUUGGCACUAGUUGCAUCAGGGAACCCAAUAUCACAUAAUACUGCUUUGCAGCCCAUCAACGGACCAAUACCCAAUCUCCCCGAGGCUGAUGUUCCACUGGACCCGAUGAAGGAGUUAACCAGACUAUUAUCUGAGCAAAAAAUCGAUGAGGCGUUUACGAUGGCUCUUCAAAGAAGUGACGUCUCCAUGGUAUCUUGGUUGUGCUCUCAGGUUGAUUUGCAAGGUCUGUGUAGACUGAACCCCGUUCCUCUGAACCAAGGGGUCCUUCUGGCCCUUUUCCAGCAACUGGCAUGCGACAUAGCCAACGACACACCCCUGAAGCUUCAAUGGAUGACAGCGGUCGCCAUGGCAAUCCAACCAACCCAUCAGAUGAUUGCAGCGCAUGUGAGGCCAAUAUUUGAGCAAGUCUAUGGCGUCUUGGCCCGCCAACAGUCGGUACCAGGAACCAGCCCACUGGAAGCCAACAACAUCCGCCUAAUGAUGCAUGUAAUCAACUCGGUGAUGAUGACCCACAAGUGA